AACGAACGCUGGCGGCAUGCCUAACACAUGCAAGUCGAACGAGACCUUCGGGUCUAGUGGCGCACGGGUGCGUAACGCGUGGGAACCUGCCCUUAGGUUCGGAAUAACUCCCCGAAAGGGGUGCUAAUACCGGAUAAUGUUUUCGGACCAAAGAUUUAUCGCCUUUGUAUGGGCCCGCGUUGGAUUAGCCAGUUGGUAGGGUAAAAGACUACCAAGGCGACGAGCCAUAUCUCGUUUAAGAGGAUGAUCAGCCACACUGGAACUGGGACACGACCCAGACUGCAACGGAAGGCAGCAGUGAGGAAUAGUGGACAAUGAGCGAAAGCAUGAUCCAGCAAUGCCGCGUGAGGGAUGAAGGCCUUAGAGUUGAAAAGCUAUUUUACCCGCGAUGAUAAUGACAGAACCGGGGGAAUAAGCUCCGGCUAAAUCCGU
This 432-nucleotide ribosomal RNA is filed under the name uncultured bacterium. RNAcentral describes it as "partial 16S ribosomal RNA". It matches the Rfam family "Bacterial small subunit ribosomal RNA", at positions 29 to 506 of the family's 1533-position model. The record is from RNAcentral.